UCUAUGACCAAGAUGAACGACGUAACACUCAGCCAGCCCCUCAACUUCCAGAACGUGCACCAGAGCCCAAGCAAAAACGCACACGUGAGCUGUGCGCACCUGCUUUAAACAGAAGGCAGAAAACAAUGAGCCAGCCAUCAUCGUGCAGGAAGCCGACGCCAAAUGGGCUGCUGCUGAAUCGGUCAGGCAUGCACCAGCUAGGACCAAGAAAAUGGAGCAGUGUGCCUCUUCUCAGGAGUGACUGAGGGGCUGCCACAAGGGGAGAAGGCA
RNAcentral lists this long non-coding RNA (270 nucleotides) under Ixodes scapularis (black-legged tick). RNAcentral's name for it is "uncharacterized LOC120843035, transcript variant X1". Lineage: Eukaryota; Metazoa; Arthropoda; Arachnida; Ixodida; Ixodidae. The record is from RNAcentral.